This 778-nucleotide ribosomal RNA is filed under the name uncultured Neocallimastigales. RNAcentral describes it as "partial large subunit ribosomal RNA". It matches the Rfam family "Eukaryotic large subunit ribosomal RNA", at positions 18 to 616 of the family's 3401-position model. Lineage: Eukaryota; Fungi; Neocallimastigomycota; Neocallimastigomycetes; Neocallimastigales. The record is from RNAcentral.
UUCAGACGAUGCGUCAUGCAUAUCAAUAAGCGGAGGAAAAGAAACUAACAAGGAUUCCCCUAGUAACGGCGAGUGAAGCGGGAAGAGCUCAAAUUUGAAAUCUUAAAGGGUUUCCCUUUACGAAUUGUAGUUUAAAGAAGUGUUUUCUGUUGAGGUUUUGGUAAAAGUUCUUUGGAAUAGGACAUCAUAGAGGGUGAGAAUCCCGUAUUUGACCUUUACUUUCAACUUUGUGAUACACUUUCAAAGAGUCGGAUUGUUUGGGAAUGCAGUCCAAAAUGGGUGGUAAAUUUCAUCUAAAGCUAAAUAUUGGCGAGAGACCGAUAGCGAACAAGUACCGUGAGGGAAAGAUGAAAAGAACUUUGAAAAGAGAGUUAAACAGUACGUGAAAUUGUCAAAAGGGAAGCGUUUGACACCAGUGUUGUUUUUCUGAAAAUCAAUUAAAGAACUGUUUUAUUGCUAAGUUGUUUAGACUUUAUCAGCUAUACUGUUUAGUUUUGAGCUUUUCUUUAAUGCACUUUUCAGUUAACAAGUCAACAUCAAUUUCUUGUGCUGUAAAAAAGCUUGAGGAAGGUGGCUUGAGAUUCGUCUUAAGUGUUUAUAGCCUCUUGCCUAUGCAGUCGGAGAGAUUGAGGUCUGCAGCGUAGAUCCUUCGGGGCUAAAUGCAUUUGUGCUAAGUUAUAGCAUUUUAUAGACAACUUGUUGACUAUGAUUUGUCUUGUAGCUUACUCGCUUAUGUUAUUUUACCUACGCUUAGGAUGUUGAGCGCAUGUCUCUCUCU